UAUGGCGAAGGCACUGUACUGGGCUUUUCCUGACGCUCAGAGACGAAAGCUGAAGGAGUGAUUAGGAUUAGAUACCCUAGUAAUUUCAGCCGUAAACGAUGAAAACUCACUGUCGAGCCAAUAUAUGGAGCGGUGGUCAAGCUAACGCGUGAAGUUUUCCGCCUGGGGAUUACGCUUGCAAAAGUGAAACUCAAAGGAAUUGACGGGGACCCGCACAAGCGGUGGAGUAUGUGGUUUAAUUCGAUGCAACGCGAAAAACCUUACCAGGGUUUGAAAUAAUUUCAAAACUUCUUGAAAGAGAAGCCUCCUUCGGGAUGGAAUUACAGGUGGUGCAUGGCUGUCGUCAGCUCGUGUUGUGAAAUGUCAAGUUAAGUCUUGUAACGAGCGCAACCCAUGUCUCUUGUUGCUGUUUACAGUGCUUAAGAGAAACUGCCGAUCAACAUCGGAGGAAGGUGUGGAUGAUGUCAAGUCAGCAUGCCCCUUACAUCCUGGGCUACACACGUACUACAAUGGUCGAGACAAAGGGUCGCUAACCUGCAAAGGCAUGCCAAUCUCAUAAACUCGAUCUCAGUUCGGAUUGUACUCUGCAACUCGAGUACAUGAAGGUGGAAUCGCUAGUAAUCGCUGGUCAGCAUACAGCGGUGAAUACGUUCCCGGGUCUUGUACACACUGCCCGUCACACCAUGGAAGUCGACCCUUCCCUAAGUCGUUACUCGAACC
This 720-nucleotide ribosomal RNA is filed under the name uncultured Cyanobacterium sp. RNAcentral's name for it is "bacterial SSU rRNA". It matches the Rfam family "Bacterial small subunit ribosomal RNA", at positions 708 to 1440 of the family's 1533-position model. Lineage: Bacteria; Bacillati; Cyanobacteriota; Cyanophyceae; Chroococcales; Geminocystaceae. The record is from RNAcentral.